GCGUGAGUGACGAAGGCCCUAGGGUCGUAAAGCUCUUUCAGCUGGGAAGAUAAUGACGGUACCAGCAGAAGAAACCCCGGCUAACUCCGUGCCAGCAGCCGCGGUAAUACGGAGGGGGUUAGCGUUGUUCGGAAUUACUGGGCGUAAAGCGCACGUAGGCGGAUAUUUAAGUCGGGGGUGAAAUCCCGGGGCUCAACCCCGGAACUGCCUUCGAUACUGGAUGUCUGGAGGUCGAGAGAGGUGAGUGGAAUUCCGAGUGUAGAGGUGAAAUUCGC
This 275-nucleotide ribosomal RNA is filed under the name uncultured bacterium. Its description in RNAcentral is "partial 16S ribosomal RNA". It matches the Rfam family "Bacterial small subunit ribosomal RNA", at positions 399 to 691 of the family's 1533-position model. The record is from RNAcentral.